UUAAGCGACUAAGCGUACACGGUGGAUGCCCUGGCAGUCAGAGGCGAUGAAGGACGUGCUAAUCUGCGAUAAGCGUCGGUGAGGUGAUAUGAAUCGUUAUAACCGGCGAUUUCCGAAUGGGGAAACCCAGUGUGUUUCGACACACUAUCAUUAACUGAAUCCAUAGGUUAAUGAGGCGAACCGGGGGAACUGAAACAUCUAAGUACCCCGAGGAAAAGAAAUCAACCGAGAUUCCCCCAGUAGCGGCGAGCGAACGGGGAGGAGCCCAGAGCCUGAAUCAGUGUGUGUGUUAGUGGAAGCGUCUGGAAAGGCGUGCGAUACAGGGUGACAGCCCCGUACACAAAAAUGCACAUAUUGUGAGCUCGAUGAGUAGGGCGGGACACGUGGUAUCCUGUCUGAAUAUGGGGGGACCAUCCUCCAAGGCUAAAUACUCCUGACUGACCGAUAGUGAACCAGUACCGUGAGGGAAAGGCGAAAAGAACCCCGGCGAGGGGAGUGAAAAAGAACCUGAAACCGUGUACGUACAAGCAGUGGGAGCCUCUUAAUGGGGUGACUGCGUACCUUUUGUAUAAUGGGUCAGCGACUUAUAUUCUGUAGCAAGGUUAACCGAAUAGGGGAGCCGAAGGGAAACCGAGUCUUAACUGGGCGUUAAGUUGCAGGGUAUAGACCCGAAACCCGGUGAUCUAGCCAUGGGCAGGUUGAAGGUUGGGUAACACUAACUGGAGGACCGAACCGACUAAUGUUGAAAAAUUAGCGGAUGACUUGUGGCUGGGGGUGAAAGGCCAAUCAAACCGGGAGAUAGCUGGUUCUCCCCGAAAGCUAUUUAGGUAGCGCCUCGUGAAUUCAUCUCCGGGGGUAGAGCACUGUUUCGGCAAGGGGGUCAUCCCGACUUACCAACCCGAUGCAAACUGCGAAUACCGGAGAAUGUUAUCACGGGAGACACACGGCGGGUGCUAACGUCCGUCGUGAAGAGGGAAACAACCCAGACCGCCAGCUAAGGUCCCAAAGUCAUGGUUAAGUGGGAAACGAUGUGGGAAGGCCCAGACAGCCAGGAUGUUGGCUUAGAAGCAGCCAUCAUUUAAAGAAAGCGUAAUAGCUCACUGGUCGAGUCGGCCUGCGCGGAAGAUGUAACGGGGCUAAACCAUGCACCGAAGCUGCGGCAGCGACGCUUAUGCGUUGUUGGGUAGGGGAGCGUUCUGUAAGCCUGUGAAGGUGUGCUGUGAGGCAUGCUGGAGGUAUCAGAAGUGCGAAUGCUGACAUAAGUAACGAUAAAGCGGGUGAAAAGCCCGCUCGCCGGAAGACCAAGGGUUCCUGUCCAACGUUAAUCGGGGCAGGGUGAGUCGACCCCUAAGGCGAGGCCGAAAGGCGUAGUCGAUGGGAAACAGGUUAAUAUUCCUGUACUUGGUGUUACUGCGAAGGGGGGACGGAGAAGGCUAUGUUGGCCGGGCGACGGUUGUCCCGGUUUAAGCGUGUAGGCUGGUUUUCCAGGCAAAUCCGGAAAACCAAGGCUGAGGCGUGAUGACGAGGCACUACGGUGCUGAAGCAACAAAUGCCCUGCUUCCAGGAAAAGCCUCUAAGCAUCAGGUAACAUCAAAUCGUACCCCAAACCGACACAGGUGGUCAGGUAGAGAAUACCAAGGCGCUUGAGAGAACUCGGGUGAAGGAACUAGGCAAAAUGGUGCCGUAACUUCGGGAGAAGGCACGCUGAUAUGUAGGUGAAGCGACUUGCUCGUGGAGCUGAAAUCAGUCGAAGAUACCAGCUGGCUGCAACUGUUUAUUAAAAACACAGCACUGUGCAAACACGAAAGUGGACGUAUACGGUGUGACGCCUGCCCGGUGCCGGAAGGUUAAUUGAUGGGGUUAGCGGUAACGCGAAGCUCUUGAUCGAAGCCCCGGUAAACGGCGGCCGUAACUAUAACGGUCCUAAGGUAGCGAAAUUCCUUGUCGGGUAAGUUCCGACCUGCACGAAUGGCGUAAUGAUGGCCAGGCUGUCUCCACCCGAGACUCAGUGAAAUUGAACUCGCUGUGAAGAUGCAGUGUACCCGCGGCAAGACGGAAAGACCCCGUGAACCUUUACUAUAGCUUGACACUGAACAUUGAGCCUUGAUGUGUAGGAUAGGUGGGAGGCUUUGAAGUGUGGACGCCAGUCUGCAUGGAGCCGACCUUGAAAUACCACCCUUUAAUGUUUGAUGUUCUAACGUUGGCCCGUAAUCCGGGUUGCGGACAGUGUCUGGUGGGUAGUUUGACUGGGGCGGUCUCCUCCUAAAGAGUAACGGAGGAGCACGAAGGUUGGCUAAUCCUGGUCGGACAUCAGGAGGUUAGUGCAAUGGCAUAAGCCAGCUUGACUGCGAGCGUGACGGCGCGAGCAGGUGCGAAAGCAGGUCAUAGUGAUCCGGUGGUUCUGAAUGGAAGGGCCAUCGCUCAACGGAUAAAAGGUACUCCGGGGAUAACAGGCUGAUACCGCCCAAGAGUUCAUAUCGACGGCGGUGUUUGGCACCUCGAUGUCGGCUCAUCACAUCCUGGGGCUGAAGUAGGUCCCAAGGGUAUGGCUGUUCGCCAUUUAAAGUGGUACGCGAGCUGGGUUUAGAACGUCGUGAGACAGUUCGGUCCCUAUCUGCCGUGGGCGCUGGAGAACUGAGGGGGGCUGCUCCUAGUACGAGAGGACCGGAGUGGACGCAUCACUGGUGUUCGGGUUGUCAUGCCAAUGGCACUGCCCGGUAGCUAAAUGCGGAAGAGAUAAGUGCUGAAAGCAUCUAAGCACGAAACUUGCCCCGAGAUGAGUUCUCCCUGAGACUUAGAGUCUCCUGAAGGAACGUUGAAGACGACGACGUUGAUAGGCCGGGUGUGUAAGCGCAGCGAUGCGUUGAGCUAACCGGUACUAAUGAACCGUGAGGCUUAACCUU
RNAcentral lists this ribosomal RNA (2903 nucleotides) under Escherichia coli UMEA 3088-1. Its description in RNAcentral is "bacterial LSU rRNA". It matches the Rfam family "Bacterial large subunit ribosomal RNA". Lineage: Bacteria; Pseudomonadati; Pseudomonadota; Gammaproteobacteria; Enterobacterales; Enterobacteriaceae. The record is from RNAcentral.